CUCAGGAUCACCACCAGUCAGCGAGUUUCGCCCACUGGUGUAUUUU
RNAcentral lists this small RNA (46 nucleotides) under uncultured Amylibacter sp. Its description in RNAcentral is "ffh sRNA". It matches the Rfam family "ffh sRNA", at positions 5 to 50 of the family's 52-position model. Lineage: Bacteria; Pseudomonadati; Pseudomonadota; Alphaproteobacteria; Rhodobacterales; Paracoccaceae. The record is from RNAcentral.